GGGUUGUGAGGUUAAGCGACUAAGCGUACACGGUGGAUGCCUUGGCAGUCAGAGGCGAUGAAGGACGUGCUAAUCUGCGAAAAGCGUCGGUAAGGUGAUAUGAACCGUUAUAACCGGCGAUGUCCGAAUGGGGAAACCCAGUGUGUUCCGACACACUAUCAUUAACUGAAUCCAUAGGUUAAUGAGGCGAACCGGGGGAACUGAAACAUCUAAGUACCCCGAGGAAAAGAAAUCAACCGAGAUUCCCCCAGUAGCGGCGAGCGAACGGGGAGGAGCCCAGAGCCUGAAUCAGUGUGUGUGUUAGUGGAAGCGUCUGGAAAGGCGUGCGAUACAGGGUGACAGCCCCGUACACAAAAAUGCACAUGCUGUGAGCUCGAAGAGUAGGGCGGGACACGUGGUAUCCUGUCUGAAUAUGGGGGGACCAUCCUCCAAGGCUAAAUACUCCUGACUGACCGAUAGUGAACCAGUACCGUGAGGGAAAGGCGAAAAGAACCCCGGCGAGGGGAGUGAAAAAGAACCUGAAACCGUGUACGUACAAGCAGUGGGAGCCCUGAUUUAUCAGGGUGACUGCGUACCUUUUGUAUAAUGGGUCAGCGACUUAUAUUCUGUAGCAAGGUUAACCGAAUAGGGGAGCCGGAGGGAAACCGAGUCUUAACUGGGCGUUAAGUUGCAGGGUAUAGACCCGAAACCCGGUGAUCUAGCCAUGGGCAGGUUGAAGGUUGGGUAACACUAACUGGAGGACCGAACCGACUAAUGUUGAAAAAUUAGCGGAUGACUUGUGGCUGGGGGUGAAAGGCCAAUCAAACCGGGAGAUAGCUGGUUCUCCCCGAAAGCUAUUUAGGUAGCGCCUCGUGAAUUCAUCUCCGGGGGUAGAGCACUGUUUCGGCAAGGGGGUCAUCCCGACUUACCAACCCGAUGCAAACUGCGAAUACCGGAGAAUGUUAUCACGGGAGACACACGGCGGGUGCUAACGUCCGUCGUGAAGAGGGAAACAACCCAGACCGCCAGCUAAGGUCCCAAAGUCAUGGUUAAGUGGGAAACGAUGUGGGAAGGCCCAGACAGCCAGGAUGUUGGCUUAGAAGCAGCCAUCAUUUAAAGAAAGCGUAAUAGCUCACUGGUCGAGUCGGCCUGCGCGGAAGAUGUAACGGGGCUAAACCAUGCACCGAAGCUGCGGCAGCGACACUGUGUGUUGUUGGGUAGGGGAGCGUUCUGUAAGCCUGUGAAGGUGUACUGUGAGGUAUGCUGGAGGUAUCAGAAGUGCGAAUGCUGACAUAAGUAACGAUAAAGCGGGUGAAAAGCCCGCUCGCCGGAAGACCAAGGGUUCCUGUCCAACGUUAAUCGGGGCAGGGUGAGUCGACCCCUAAGGCGAGGCCGAAAGGCGUAGUCGAUGGGAAACAGGUUAAUAUUCCUGUACUUGGUGUUACUGCGAAGGGGGGACGGAGAAGGCUAUGUUGGCCGGGCGACGGUUGUCCCGGUUUAAGCGUGUAGGCUGGUUUUCCAGGCAAAUCCGGAGAAUCAAGGCUGAGGCGUGAUGACGAGGCACUACGGUGCUGAAGCAACAAAUGCCCUGCUUCCAGGAAAAGCCUCUAAGCAUCAGGUAACAUCAAAUCGUACCCCAAACCGACACAGGUGGUCAGGUAGAGAAUACCAAGGCGCUUGAGAGAACUCGGGUGAAGGAACUAGGCAAAAUGGUGCCGUAACUUCGGGAGAAGGCACGCUGAUAUGUAGGUGAAGCGACUUGCUCGUGGAGCUGAAAUCAGUCGAAGAUACCAGCUGGCUGCAACUGUUUAUUAAAAACACAGCACUGUGCAAACACGAAAGUGGACGUAUACGGUGUGACGCCUGCCCGGUGCCGGAAGGUUAAUUGAUGGGGUCAGCGCAAGCGAAGCUCUUGAUCGAAGCCCCGGUAAACGGCGGCCGUAACUAUAACGGUCCUAAGGUAGCGAAAUUCCUUGUCGGGUAAGUUCCGACCUGCACGAAUGGCGUAAUGAUGGCCAGGCUGUCUCCACCCGAGACUCAGUGAAAUUGAACUCGCUGUGAAGAUGCAGUGUACCCGCGGCAAGACGGAAAGACCCCGUGAACCUUUACUAUAGCUUGACACUGAACACUGGUCCUUGAUGUGUAGGAUAGGUGGGAGGCUUUGAAGUGUGGACGCCAGUCUGCAUGGAGCCGUCCUUGAAAUACCACCCUUUAAUGGCUGGUGUUCUAACGUUGGCCCCUUAUCGGGGUUGCGGACAGUGUCUGGUGGGUAGUUUGACUGGGGCGGUCUCCUCCUAAAGAGUAACGGAGGAGCACGAAGGUUGGCUAAUCCUGGUCGGACAUCAGGAGGUUAGUGCAAUGGCAUAAGCCAGCUUGACUGCGAGCGUGACGGCGCGAGCAGGUGCGAAAGCAGGUCAUAGUGAUCCGGUGGUUCUGAAUGGAAGGGCCAUCGCUCAACGGAUAAAAGGUACUCCGGGGAUAACAGGCUGAUACCGCCCAAGAGUUCAUAUCGACGGCGGUGUUUGGCACCUCGAUGUCGGCUCAUCACAUCCUGGGGCUGAAGUAGGUCCCAAGGGUAUGGCUGUUCGCCAUUUAAAGUGGUACGCGAGCUGGGUUUAGAACGUCGUGAGACAGUUCGGUCCCUAUCUGCCGUGGGCGCUGGAGAACUGAGGGGGGCUGCUCCUAGUACGAGAGGACCGGAGUGGACGCAUCACUGGUGUUCGGGUUGUCAUGCCAAUGGCACUGCCCGGUAGCUAAAUGCGGAAGAGAUAAGUGCUGAAAGCAUCUAAGCACGAAACUUGCCCCGAGAUGAGUUCUCCCUGAGACUUUAAGUCUCCUGAAGGAACGUUGAAGACGACGACGUUGAUAGGCCGGGUGUGUAAGCGCAGCGAUGCGUUGAGCUAACCGGUACUAAUGAACCGUGAGGCUUAACCUUACAACGCCGAAGGUGUUU
Molecule: ribosomal RNA, 2932 nt
Filed under: Escherichia albertii
Lineage: Bacteria; Pseudomonadati; Pseudomonadota; Gammaproteobacteria; Enterobacterales; Enterobacteriaceae
Description: 23S ribosomal RNA
Rfam family: Bacterial large subunit ribosomal RNA
Source: RNAcentral